AGCCAUAGAAUGCUCAUUUUUUAUUAUUUGUCUCAUCAGUGCAAACCAAUUACAGCAAAAAAUGUAAUCAUUAUCCUUCAUCACCUUGCCAUUUACCAAAAAAUGUAAUCAUUAUCCUCCAUCACCUUUAUAUACGUGGAUGCAUUCUUCAUUAUCUGAUUAGUCAUAGAACUUGAUAAUCAUCCUGCCAUACUCUGACUCCCUUCAUGACAGUCAUGCCAUCUUUCCACGAAAUUGCAGCAGUAUUAAACCACACGACAUUGUAUCGCAACGACUUUAUCACCAACUGUGCUCUCGAUAAUUCAAUAUAUUAUUAAGAGAUAAUUAUUAUGACAAAAAUCACAAAAUUAUUCCCUAAUAAUAAUUUAAAUUAUCUUAACUCAAUCAUCUAAUGGUUUAGAACUUCGUUCACUCAACAAUUUCGAUCAUUCGGGCCGAUUGUGUAAUUUUGGGUCCAAACAACUACUAAAUUAAUCACAUGGACCAAUAGUUGUAAUAGGACCAAAUUGUUUUAAUAAGAUUAAAAUGUAUGCUUAUAUAUGAUGAGACCUAAAACCCUCAACCAAACCAUUAUUAAGUUGACAAGCGUGAGAGUGCUUUGAACACUCUUUCAAGGCCUUCCGCCGUGGUAGGCUCCAAUCGUUUGUGACUCAUACACCGACUUCACCCUAUAAUAGGGGAGUACAAAGUAUGUGCUUACACUCAGGAGGAGUUCUACAUACAUACAUGAUGAAGUGAGGUAGGCAACGAGUUUAGCCAACAUGAUAUAAUUUUGAGGCUAUGCUUGAACCCCUACACGAAUUGGCUGGUGGGAAUGACUUAACUAAGUGCAAUGACGCCAACAUGAUAUAAUUCUGAGGCAUCAUUCUCUAAAGGUCAAACUAGAUGGGUACUUACAUGAGAUGUAAAUGAGUAAGUGUACUCUCUCAUUAUUAUUAACA
RNAcentral lists this long non-coding RNA (941 nucleotides) under Malus domestica (apple). RNAcentral's name for it is "long non-coding RNA (MDOM_LNC004718)". Lineage: Eukaryota; Viridiplantae; Streptophyta; Magnoliopsida; Rosales; Rosaceae. The record is from RNAcentral.